AAGUCGUAACAAGGUUUCCGUAGGUGAACCUGCGGAAGGAUCAUUAAAGAGAUAGGGUCUUCAUGGCCCGACCUCCAACCCUCUGUUGUCAGUUAAUCAUCCUUGACCUUUGCUUUUUGGGCCGGGUUUGGCAGGGACCCCGGUUCCUUCCGGGGUUCCUUCCCCGGAAGCGCACUAACCCCUCGGGGUUGGUGAGCGCCCGCCAGAGUCCAACCAAACUCUUGUAUUAAACCAGUCGUCUGAGUAUAAAAUUUUAAUUAAAUUAAAA
Molecule: unclassified non-coding RNA, 268 nt
Filed under: plant metagenome
Description: partial contains small subunit ribosomal RNA and internal transcribed spacer 1
Rfam family: Eukaryotic small subunit ribosomal RNA (bases 1-46)
Source: RNAcentral